Molecule: ribosomal RNA, 497 nt
Filed under: uncultured bacterium
Lineage: Bacteria
Description: partial 16S ribosomal RNA
Rfam family: Bacterial small subunit ribosomal RNA
Source: RNAcentral
GAUGAACGCUGGCGGCGUGCCUAAUACAUGCAAGUCGAGCGAACAGACGAGGAGCUUGCUCCCCUGACGUUAGCGGCGGACGGGUGAGUAACACGUGGAUAACCUACCUAUAAGACUGGGAUAACUUCGGGAAACCGGAGCUAAUACCGGAUAAUAUAUUGAACCGCAUGGUUCAAUAGUGAAAGACGGUUUUGCUGUCACUUAUAGAUGGAUCCGCGCCGCAUUAGCUAGUUGGUAAGGUAACGGCUUACCAAGGCAACGAUGCGUAGCCGACCUGAGAGGGUGAUCGGCCACACUGGAACUGAGUCACGGUCCAGACUCCUACGGGAGGCAGCAGUAGGGAAUCUUCCGCAAAGGGCGAAAGCCUGACGGAGCAACGCCGCGUGAGUGAUGAAGGUCUUCGGAUCGUAAAACUCUGUUAUUAGGGAAGAACAAAUGUGUAAGUAACUAUGCACGUCUUGACGGUACCUAAUCAGAAAGCCACGGCUAACUACGUG